CCGGAAUUGCUAGUAAUGGCAGGUCAGCAUACUGCCGUGAAUACGUUCCCGGGCCUUGUACACACCGCCCGUCACACCAUGAGAGUUGGGAAUACCCGAAGCCUGUGAGCUAACUAAUAGAGGCAGCAGUCGAAGGUAGAAUCAAUGAUUGGGGUGAAGUCGUAACAAGGUACC
This 174-nucleotide ribosomal RNA is filed under the name uncultured bacterium. RNAcentral describes it as "partial 16S ribosomal RNA". It matches the Rfam family "Bacterial small subunit ribosomal RNA", at positions 1326 to 1500 of the family's 1533-position model. The record is from RNAcentral.